This 650-nucleotide ribosomal RNA is filed under the name uncultured bacterium. Its description in RNAcentral is "bacterial SSU rRNA". It matches the Rfam family "Bacterial small subunit ribosomal RNA", at positions 56 to 751 of the family's 1533-position model. The record is from RNAcentral.
UGCAGUCGAGCGGGCGUAGCAAUACGUCAGCGGCAGACGGGUGAGUAACGCGUGGGAACGUACCUUUUGGUUCGGAACAACACAGGGAAACUUGUGCUAAUACCGGAUAAGCCCUUACGGGGAAAGAUUUAUCGCCGAAAGAUCGGCCCGCGUCUGAUUAGCUAGUUGGUGAGGUAACGGCUCACCAAGGCGACGAUCAGUAGCUGGUCUGAGAGGAUGAUCAGCCACAUUGGGACUGAGACACGGCCCAAACUCCUACGGGAGGCAGCAGUGGGGAAUAUUGGACAAUGGGCGCAAGCCUGAUCCAGCCAUGCCGCGUGAGUGAUGAAGGCCCUAGGGUUGUAAAGCUCUUUUGUGCGGGAAGAUAAUGACGGUACCGCAAGAAUAAGCCCCGGCUAACUUCGUGCCAGCAGCCGCGGUAAUACGAAGGGGGCUAGCGUUGCUCGGAAUCACUGGGCGUAAAGGGUGCGUAGGCGGGUCUUUAAGUCAGAGGUGAAAUCCUGGAGCUCAACUCCAGAACUGCCUUUGAUACUGAGGAUCUUGAGUUCGGGAGAGGUGAGUGGAACUGCGAGUGUAGAGGUGAAAUUCGUAGAUAUUCGCAAGAACACCAGUGGCGAAGGCGGCUCACUGGCCCGAUACUGACGCUGAGG